AGAGUUUGAUCCUGGCUCAGAACGAACGCUGGCGGCGUGGAUAAGACAUGCAAGUCGAGCGAGAUUUUUUCUUGUAGCAAUACGAGGAAAAGUCUAGCGGCGAACGGGUGCUUAACACGUGGGCAACCUGCCAUGAAGUGGGGGAUAGCUCGUCGAAAGGCGAAUUAAUACCGCAUGUGAUUAGAGUGGACAUCCAUUCAAAAUUAAAGUCGGGGCAACCUGACGCUUCUUGUGGGGCCCGCGGCCUAUCAGCUAGUUGGUGAGGUAACGGCCCACCAAGGCUUUGACGGGUAGCUGGUCUGAGAGGACGACCAGCCACACUGGGACUGAGACACGGCCCAGACACCUACGGGUGGCAGCAGUCGAGAAUUUUUGACAAUGGGGGAAACCCUGAUCGAGCGACGCCGCGUGGAGGAUGAAGGUCUUCGGAUUGUAAACUCCUGUCAUUGGGGAACAAUGCACAGAUAUUAACUGUAUUUGUGUUGAUAGUACCCGAAGAGGAAGGGACGGCUAACUCUGUGCCAGCAGCCGCGGUAAUACAGAGGUCCCAAGCGUUGUUCGGAUUCAUUGGGCGUAAAGGGUGCGUAGGCGGCGCGGUAAGUCGGGUGUGAAAUCUCGGGGCUUAACUCCGAAACUGCAUUCGAUACUGCCGUGCUUGAGGACUGGAGAGGAGACUGGAAUUUACGGUGUAGCGGUGAAAUGCGUAGAUAUCGUAAGGAAGACCAGUGGCGAAGGCGGGUCUCUGGACAGUUCCUGACGCUGAGGCACGAAGGUCAGGGGAGCAAACGGGAUUAGAUACCCUAGUAGUCC
RNAcentral lists this ribosomal RNA (810 nucleotides) under uncultured bacterium. RNAcentral's name for it is "bacterial SSU rRNA". It matches the Rfam family "Bacterial small subunit ribosomal RNA", at positions 8 to 796 of the family's 1533-position model. The record is from RNAcentral.